RNAcentral lists this ribosomal RNA (253 nucleotides) under uncultured bacterium. Its description in RNAcentral is "partial 16S ribosomal RNA". It matches the Rfam family "Bacterial small subunit ribosomal RNA", at positions 524 to 776 of the family's 1533-position model. The record is from RNAcentral.
UACAGAGGGGGCAAGCGUUGUUCGGAAUUACUGGGCGUAAAGGGCGCGUAGGCGGCCUGCUAAGUCGAACGUGAAAUCCCUGGGCUCAACCCAGGAACUGCGUCCGAGACUGGUUGGCUUGAAUCCGGGAGAGGGAUGUGGAAUUCCAGGUGUAGCGGUGAAAUGCGUAGAUAUCUGGAGGAACACCGGUGGCGAAGGCGGCAUCCUGGACCGAUAUUGACGCUGAGGAGCGAAAGCCAGGGGAGCAAACGGG